This 107-nucleotide unclassified non-coding RNA is filed under the name uncultured Helotiales. RNAcentral describes it as "sequence contains ITS1". The record is from RNAcentral. Lineage: Eukaryota; Fungi; Ascomycota; Leotiomycetes; Helotiales.
CCGAGUUGUCGCAAGACAAUCUCCCUUUCUUGAUGUGGACUAUGUUGCCUUGCCUUCGGGCAGGAUGAUUCUGAAUCAGUGUCGUCUGAGUUUUAUUUAAUCAAUCA